RNAcentral lists this long non-coding RNA (2115 nucleotides) under Marmota monax (woodchuck). The record is from RNAcentral. Lineage: Eukaryota; Metazoa; Chordata; Mammalia; Rodentia; Sciuridae.
AGCUUAUGGACCUGCAUGAAAAUGUAUUCGAAUGAGAUCUCGGCUGGUUCCUAGUUUACAUCGAUAUUUUAUCUGCUUAAAUAUUAUCAAACUUAUCAGCUACACCACUUGAUACUUUCACAUGCUUCUCAGUGUACCUCCCAUAUUCCUCUACCUAUUCAUGUAUAUAGAUAUAACAUCUGGGAAAUUAUAAUUUUGCUUACAUGUAGCCAUUUUCCAUCUUAUAUAAUUCCUAAAUGUUGUUCAAUGAGCAUGUGUUCUUUUUUACAAUCAUAAUCAUAAAAUAAGUUCUUCAAAAACCAUUUUCCCCUGACACACAUGUGCAGUGUGUGUAUCCCACCCCAGUGCCACCAACUUUACUAGAAAUAAUUUCUCAACCCUGGUCCCCCUACACUAUGAAAAGAGCCUUUCUUCACGGGCAAUGUACACAAUGUCCCAUCAGGCCUCUCUCCUCCUGCCUUGUGUCCUCUCUGUAUGUAAAAGCACCCCAUCCUCAAAUCAGGUGAGAUCUUGUCCGAUUUAUAAAAUUCUAUAACUAAAUCAUGCUAAAACAGAAUGAUUAAGUUUGAUGAAUAUAUGUCUGGGGCAGGAAGAAGAGGUUGUUUUUUUGUUUGUUUGUUUGUUUGUUUGUUUUUUUCCCAGAUGGUGAAAAUCACUAAGUAUUACUUAGUAAAACACUAACUUGAGAUGUGAACUAGCGAACCCCCAUCUGACAGAACCGUGAAGGCCUCCCUAGCCAGUUCACAGGGCAGAGGAUGAACAAAGUUUAUCUGCCUGAGCACCUCAUCGACUACUGCAGUUCCAGUCUUGUCUCCAUUCUGCCAUCUUGCGGCCUUUCCUGUUGCUGCAUUCAGCGUUCUAAUUGUCACAAGUGCCUUCAGANUAAAUGGAAUCAUGGAGAAUGUGUGAUGGUGUUUAGCUUCCUUCACUUUGCAUGAUGCUUUGUAGAUUCAUCCACAUCACAGCAUAUAUAAGAACUUCGUUUAUUUUUAUUGGUGAAUAACAUUCCAUUGUGUAUACACACACACAAUACACACACACACACAACUGGUUUAUUCACUCAUGCAUCAGUGGAUAUCUGGACAAUUUCCAUCCAGAAUUGUGAAUCCUGCUCUUGUGAACAUGAGUAUACCUGUACUACUUGCCUGAAUACCUGUUUUCAAUUCCUGGAGAAAAUAUAUAGGAAUGAAAUUGCAUUAGCCCUGAUCAAAAACUGAAGAUGUGGAUGAAAAAAUCUGAAAAUGUAAAAUAAAAACAUUAUUUCAAUGGCAGGGAAAAAUAAGUAAUGGAUCUAAAGAAGGAACAUUUUUUUAAAAAUUCUUUUAUUUUUCAGAGACUUUGUCCACCGUAGUAGUUAAUAAAUAAGUGGACCUCAGACUGCUUAUCUUUACAAUAAGGAGAAUAUGACUUACUUCAUACAUUUGUACUAAAUAUUUAAUUGGAAAAUAGUGCUUUGUACAGUGAUAGCAAUUGUCAAAACCUCAACAAAUGUCAAUCUCUUGUUUCUUUAUUCUUGUAAAGGAAAUGGGUUUUGUUUACCAGAGAUUUCAGAAGAAUUGAAUGCAGUUCCACAACUAUAACAUUCUCUGAGGAAGGAAAUUGAGUUGAGUGGAGUGUUGAUCUAUGUGGUUGCUUAUAUACUGGUAAUGUAUAUUUUACCCCCUCUGGCUCUCUGCCCUGAUGAAUAUGGUGUUCAGUUUUUUCCUCUAGGAAGACAACUGACUCUAUUUUCAGUCUCGGGAGUUCCGCAUCACAAUGAAGAUGAUCUCAGAAUCACCUGUAAAAUAUUUGACAGAAACUAUUAAAAAGCCACAAAUAGUUUUUCUCUUUCCUAAAGCAUACAGAGUCCUUCUUUUGAAAAAGUAAUGUUAUGUAAAAAAAAUGCAAAAUCAUAUCCAAUGUGUUUUAGCUUUCAGUUCCUGUGAAUUCUUGCUCUGUUGAAAGAUUAGUGUGUCCAAAAGAAACCAUAUUGUUGUAACUUUGUCAUGUAGUAAGAAUCCCAAUUUGAGAAAAUUUUAGUUUUAAAUUAUGUGAGGAAAUUUUUAUCUGUGGCUGACUUGAUUUGGUGAGCACACUUGUUUCCACAAUAAAAUUAAUGUUAGGAUUUCAUAAAAA